This 1708-nucleotide long non-coding RNA is filed under the name Calidris pygmaea (Spoon-billed sandpiper). Its description in RNAcentral is "lncRNA (ENSCPGG00000002598.1)". The record is from RNAcentral. Lineage: Eukaryota; Metazoa; Chordata; Aves; Charadriiformes; Scolopacidae.
UUUUUUAGAGCAGGUAACUGAAACUAAGCUACAGUUAAAAACCAAAUAAAACCAUGGUAUUUUUUUUUUCUUUUUCUCAACUCGGAGCUACACAGCUGACACUUAGGUUUGGUUGGAAAUUUUUCAGCAAAUCAAAAUUUUGUUGGAAACCUCCCCACCGCUUUCAGGGUCCAAGAUACUCAGGCUCUUGAAAUGCCUUGGAUUCAACAGACUUCUGCAAGCUCAAAGGUGAAUUUCUGCCAGCUAUGGCCAGAGGUAGGAGCUGUCAGGUGCUUAACCCUAGGGCAGAUGCAUCUAGAGGGAGGCAGGGGGCUAUUUUCUUCUGGGCUGAGGAAUGAUGAGUCUCCCCAUUCUGCUCAAUGGUCAACUCUUCUGGAAGAGGUGGAUUGUACAGGACCAGUCUAUAGCCCAGCUCUAAGAGGAAGAUGGAUGGAUAUGGAACCCAGGUGGAGUGACAGUUGCAGGCGGCUGCCCAACACUUGUACUCUUAAAAAGGGAAAACAAUGCAAAGAGAGGAUGUCCCCGGAGGGAGAUCAUGCCCUGCCCCAGCUGCUCACACAUGCAAGACAGAUUUUUUUCAAGCACAAGACCCGGUUGGGAACUGGACUGCCAUUUGUGCCCUUGAAAACACCCCUCUUUGCCUUGCAAGUAUUUGGAAACUUGGCUUCCACUACUGCAAGGGUAGUUAGGGACUGGCAUUACACCUGAAUAAAUGGUCAGUGGUAUGGUACAGGGUGUGAGACACUCAGGGGUGGGACACACAUAUGUACUCCCAUGGGGUAAUGAAGUUUGAAGAGAAGGGCCAGAUUCUUCCUCCCUUGUCCUGACAGGAGCUGAACAGUCUCUGACGGAUGAACAGGGGUUUGCACAGAAUGUGAGCAGGAUCUGGCAAGCAUUUUUGUUGUUCUGCUUUUGGCAGUUUAGCGAGAAGCAACCUCAGUAGUUCAGUAGAAAGCUAAGCAGUUAGAUACUUACCUAACAUCUGUGUCCUUGGAGUGUCCUUAUUGAAAUGGAUAACAUUUUAGAGCAUACAGCUUGUGCGACAGCUCGAAAGAUAAUGCUGAGGUUAUUAGCAACUGCUGCAAGGCUUGAACAAAAAUAAUAGCUGGCUAUAAAACUCAGAAAGUUCUACAAAUUCUGCAGGUAAGUAGAGGUCACCAGGGUCUACAGGACGUAGGAUGUGUGCCAUGGGGACCACAGAUCAUAGGGGUAGAGGCAGGAAAGGCGUAAGAUGCUUGGCACAGCAGCUCAGCUCUUCCCUGCGAAUGUGCUGGUGCUGAGCGUUUGGAAGCAGAGUGGGUGCAUGGUUUGGGUGCUUUGGAGCAGUCCCCAAGGUCAGCGUACACCUGAUGCUGCCUGUGUUUUCAGUCUCAUCCUUGCCCCUAACAGGAAUGAAAUCCUGGAGAUAGUUGGCUCUUCUAAUGGCCUGUAAUGAAAGCGACAUUCUUCCUUCACAGAGGUGUCUUUAUAAUGCAGCAAUCAAACUAAAUGAGUAGAGUUGUGUCCUAUUUCAAAACGUGAAAACCAUGAACUAAGCUGUGCAUAAGGAACAGUUUAGACGACAGUGUAUUUUUGCCAUUGAAUACUUUAUCUCAGCUGUUGCAGUUACAAGAAGGUCUUAUAUAGGAAAGAAAGAAAGAAGUUGCCCAUGGAGUAUCUAACAAGGACCAAAGGUUGUAUUUGUGUUGAAAGCAACGGACUGAGAUUU